Molecule: long non-coding RNA, 537 nt
Filed under: Homo sapiens (human)
Lineage: Eukaryota; Metazoa; Chordata; Mammalia; Primates; Hominidae
Description: HSALNT0294787
Source: RNAcentral
UAAGACUAUACUUUCAGGGAUCAUUUCUUUUUAUUUUAUUUUAUUUUAUUUUACUUUAUUUUAUUUUAUUUUGAGGCAGAGUCUCACUGUGUCGCCCAGGCUGGAGUGCACUAGUGUGAUCUCAGCUCCCUGAAGCCUCCGCCUCCCAGGUUCAAGUGAUUCUCGCGCCUCAGCCUCCUGAAUAGCUAGGACUACAGGCACACACCACCAAGCCUGGCUAAUUUUUGUAUUUUUGGUAGAGACAGGGUUUCGCCACGUUGGCCAGGCUGGUCUCAAACUCCUGACCUCAAGUGAUCCACCUGACUUGGCCUCCCAAAGUGCUGGGAUUACAGGCAUGAGCCACCACGCCAAAGUGCUGGGAUUACAGGCAUGAGCCACCACGCCUGGCCUGUACUCUUUUAAUGAUGUUUUCAGAUAAACAAAAGUUCUUAUAUUUAAUGUAAACUAAUUUAUCUUUUUUUCUUUAUAACUAAUGCUUUUUGAAACUAGAUUAAGAAAUCUUUCUCCAUCCUGAGGUCAUAAAGGUUUUGUUUUUUA